Molecule: ribosomal RNA, 253 nt
Filed under: uncultured bacterium
Lineage: Bacteria
Description: partial 16S ribosomal RNA
Rfam family: Bacterial small subunit ribosomal RNA
Source: RNAcentral
GACAGAGGGUGCAAACGUUGUUCGGAAUCAUUGGGCGUAAAGCGCUCGUAGGCGGCGGGGCAAGUCGAAUGUGAAAGCCCAGGGCUCAACCCUGGAAGUGCAUUCGAAACUGCCUUGCUUGAGUCCUGGAGAGGGUGGUGGAAUUCCCAGUGUAGAGGUGAAAUUCGUAGAUAUUGGGAGGAACACCGGUGGCGAAGGCGACCGCCUGGACAGUGACUGACGCUGAGGAGCGAGAGCGUGGGGAGCAAACAGG